Molecule: ribosomal RNA, 254 nt
Filed under: uncultured bacterium
Lineage: Bacteria
Description: partial 16S ribosomal RNA
Rfam family: Bacterial small subunit ribosomal RNA
Source: RNAcentral
UACGUAGGGUGCGAGCGUUAAUCGGAAUUACUGGGCGUAAAGCGCGCGUAGGCGGCUUUGCAAGUCGGGUGUGAAAUCCCCAGGCUUAACCUGGGAACUGCAUUCGAGACUGCAUUGCUAGAGUAUGGGAGAGGGAAGUGGAAUUUUCCGGUGUAGCGGUGAAAUGCGUAGAUAUCGGAAGGAACAUCAGUGGCGAAAGCGACUUCCUGGACCAAUACUGACGCUCAUGUGCGAAAGCGUGGGGAGCAAACAGG